RNAcentral lists this ribosomal RNA (442 nucleotides) under uncultured bacterium. RNAcentral describes it as "partial 16S ribosomal RNA". It matches the Rfam family "Bacterial small subunit ribosomal RNA", at positions 338 to 795 of the family's 1533-position model. The record is from RNAcentral.
CCUACGGGUGGCAGCAGUGGGGGAUAUUGGACAAUGGGGGAAACCCUGAUCCAGCGACGCCGCGUGAGUGAAGAAGUAUUUCGGUAUGUAAAGCUCUGUCAGCAGGGAAGAAAGAAAUGACGGUACCUGACCAAGAAGACUCGCCUAACUACGUGCAAGCAGCCGCUUUAAUACGUCGGCGGCAAGCGUAAUCCGGAUUUAUUGGGUUAAAAGGUGUCGCAGGCGGCCUGGUAAGUCAGCGGUAAAAGCCCGGGGCUGAACCACGGCCAGCCGUUGAAACUGGCGGGCUGGAGUUGGAGAGAAGUACGCGGAAUGCGCGGUGUAGCGGUGAAAUGCUUAGAUAUCGCGCAGAACCCCGAUUGCGAAGGCAGCGUACCGGCUCCACACUGACGCUGAGGCACGAAAGCGUGGGUAUCGAACAGGAUUAGAUACCCCUGUAGUC